GCAACAUAAUAAAGUGAUUUUGAAAGUCACUAAAGAUGUAUAAAUUCAUCAUGUUGCU
This 58-nucleotide transfer RNA is filed under the name Alitta succinea. Its description in RNAcentral is "tRNA-Ser". The record is from RNAcentral. Lineage: Eukaryota; Metazoa; Annelida; Polychaeta; Phyllodocida; Nereididae.